GCCCUUCCAGCAAACGCCUCAGCAAAUUCAUCCACAAUAGGUCCAAUUCCUGCAUUCCUGACAGUUACAGCAUUCACCGGCUACAUAUCUUGAAUAAACCGCAGUGACCCAUUCUUCUUAGGUACCGUAAACCAUCGACUAGAAUACGGCGCAAAUGAAGGUUCUAAUAUUUUCAUCUUUAUCUUUUCUUUCAAUAGUUCCACCAAUUUAGGUAAAUGUGCC
This 222-nucleotide long non-coding RNA is filed under the name Physcomitrium patens. RNAcentral describes it as "long non-coding RNA (PPAT_LNC012380)". Lineage: Eukaryota; Viridiplantae; Streptophyta; Bryopsida; Funariales; Funariaceae. The record is from RNAcentral.